RNAcentral lists this long non-coding RNA (1550 nucleotides) under Anneissia japonica. Its description in RNAcentral is "uncharacterized LOC117120256". The record is from RNAcentral. Lineage: Eukaryota; Metazoa; Echinodermata; Crinoidea; Comatulida; Comatulidae.
UUAGGCCUAGUAAUUAUUAUUUGUGCAUCUUAUCUUUCAUAUUUUUAUGUUUAAUAUAUAUGUACAAAUAACAAAAAUAACAAAAUAAUUAAAGAAAAACAAAAAACAAAACAAAAAAGAAUAAGAUUUGCACCUCAUACGUUCGAUUACCUUUAAAACGUGCAUCUUUACCGCGCGGUCACAUUUCACCUGACAUAGACAGUAAUAUCAUACCUCAUAAUACAAGAACAACCAGAAGAUACAAAUAUAUGGCGCGACAAUACCCGGGCGAGGGUUUGUAAUCUCUGAUUAUCUUGUUUUGUAUUGCAAAUUAUUGUAUAUUUUCAUAAAUGUAUUUUGAAUGUAAUGAACCAGAUAUACUAAAGUAGGCUUUACAGCUAUGAGGAUUUAAAAAUUAUGUAAAAGCAGCAUUUUUAUUAUGUUAAUCUGUUUUAUGUACCAAAUAAUGCUAUAUUGAACGAAACCGAAUUUAAUUGAGUUACAAUUUGAAUACAAUGCAGAGUUGGAAUUGUAGGCCCUACGUAAGAAACAACAUAAAUUAAAAUAUAUAAUGUACUGUAUACACUUUGAAUUUUCUGUUUAUGUUUGUGUAAUUAAAAAGACAACAUUAAAUUUUAAUAUAGGGCCUACUACAAAUAUGUAUAUUCUUCUGUAAUAAAAAAAUAGCUAUCUUAUAGUUUGUAAUAAACUAGUAUAUGUUGCAAUUAAUUUUUUUUUAAUUGUUUAUAGUAGAGUAAUUUCAUUUACAAGAUUUUAAACUUAAAAAGCAGUUCUGUCUUACUUUUUACCGUUUUCAUCAUUAAACCUACUUUUUAUUGUAGCCUACAUGUGUAACCCUGUUAAAUUUUACUUUUUUUUUAUAAGCUUUAAAAUUUGUAUUAUUUGCCACUCUGCAAGGUAUAAAUGUUGUUAUUCCAUUUAAGUUUUAACUUUGGUAUAUGUACUGUACUGUAUAUAAUAUAGCUGAGGCCACUCAGUGUAAGUGUCCCUGCUAUUCUCAUUAGUGGUUAUGUUUAGGAAUUUAUCCUCUGUUUCUAAGGCAACUGCUGGGCAAUAGGUGUUAUCGGACACCCCCACAGUGAUAAGGAAUUCACUUCUCACUGACCCUGCUUACAAACAACAUCUGUAAGGAUUGAGGACCUAAUAUUUGCCACACCUUAUUUGAAAAGUCAUACUUUUAACAUCUUUUAUAUUGCAAUUUUAUCAACCCGGAGAAGUCUUACUUUUACCAAUUUUAUACUGCAUUUUAUCAACUGUUUAUGAUUUGACACCUUGGCUCUUUUAUAGACGAAAACUUAAUUUCGGAUAUUAUAAUUUUGGCUUUAACAUGACAAUUGGAAAGGACCUGUAAUCGUACCAGCAAUUGGAAGUGUGGAACUCUUUUCGUAGAUUGAACUUCUUUUUAAAACUCUUUUGGAAACACUUAGACAAGAAAGAACAAUUUCGCGAUCAAGAAUUUGCUCAUCAACCUAGAUUCUAUUCAUAUUGUGAAAUCAAAUCUCACCAAUUCAUUUUUUUAUUUUCAAAUAAAUACUUAAUAUAUAUAUAUU